RNAcentral lists this ribosomal RNA (440 nucleotides) under uncultured bacterium. RNAcentral describes it as "partial 16S ribosomal RNA". It matches the Rfam family "Bacterial small subunit ribosomal RNA", at positions 338 to 795 of the family's 1533-position model. The record is from RNAcentral.
CCUACGGGUGGCAGCAGUGAGGAAUAUUGGGCAAUGGGGGCAACCCUGACCCAGCCACGCCGCGUGAGUGAAGAAGGUCUUCGGAUUGUAAAGCUCUUUCGGACGGGACGAGGAUGACGGUAGCGGCUAAAGAAGCACCGGCAAACUUCGAGCCAGCAGCCGCGGUAAUACGAAGGGUGCGAGCGUUGUUCGGAAUGACUGGGCGUAAAGGGAGUGGAGGCGGCUAUGUAAGAUAGCGGUGAAAUGCGGGGGCUCAACCCCGGAACUGCCAUUCUGACUCUGUAUCUAGAGUACUGGAGAGGCUAGCGGAAUCCCCAGUGUAGAGGUGAACUUCUUAGAUAUUGGGUAGAACACCGGUGGCGAAGGCGGCUCUCUGGCCAUUUACUGACGCUGAGGCUCGAAAGCCUGGGGAUCAAACAGGAUUAGAUACCCCUGUAGUC